UACAGGGGGGGCAAGCGUUGUUCGGAAUUACUGGGCGUAAAGGGUUCGUAGGUGGCUAACUAAGUCAGACGUGAAAUCCCUCAGCUUAACUGGGGAACUGCGUCUGAAACUGGAUAGCUUGAGUGCAGGAGAGGAACGCGGAAUUCCAGGUGUAGCGGUGAAAUGCGUAGAUAUCUGGAGGAACACCGGUGGCGAAGGCGGCAUCCUGGACCAACACUGACACUGAGGAGCGAAAGCCAGGGGAGCAAACGGG
Molecule: ribosomal RNA, 253 nt
Filed under: uncultured bacterium
Lineage: Bacteria
Description: partial 16S ribosomal RNA
Rfam family: Bacterial small subunit ribosomal RNA
Source: RNAcentral